GAUGAAAGCUGGCGGCGUGCUUAACACAUGCAAGUCGAACGAAGCACUUUAUUUGAUUUCCUUCGGGACUGAUUAUUUUGUGACUGAGUGGCGGACGGGUGAGUAACGCGUGGGUAACCUGCCUUGUACAGGGGGAUAACAGUUGGAAACGGCUGCUAAUACCGCAUAAGCGCACGGCAUCGCAUGAUGCAGUGUGAAAAACUCCGGUGGUAUAAGAUGGACCCGCGUUGGAUUAGCUAGUUGGUGAGGUAACGGCCCACCAAGGCGACGAUCCAUAGCCGACCUGAGAGGGUGACCGGCCACAUUGGGACUGAGACACGGCCCAAACUCCUACGGGAGGCAGCAGUGGGGAAUAUUGCACAAUGGGCGAAAGCCUGAUGCAGCGACGCCGCGUGAGCGAAGAAGUAUUUCGGUAUGUAAAGCUCUAUCAGCAGGGAAGAUAAUGACGGUACCUGACUAAGAAGCACCGGCUAAAUACGUG
RNAcentral lists this ribosomal RNA (481 nucleotides) under uncultured bacterium. Its description in RNAcentral is "partial 16S ribosomal RNA". It matches the Rfam family "Bacterial small subunit ribosomal RNA", at positions 28 to 507 of the family's 1533-position model. The record is from RNAcentral.